RNAcentral lists this ribosomal RNA (680 nucleotides) under uncultured bacterium. RNAcentral describes it as "bacterial SSU rRNA". It matches the Rfam family "Bacterial small subunit ribosomal RNA", at positions 722 to 1398 of the family's 1533-position model. The record is from RNAcentral.
CGGCUCUAUGGAAUGUAGAUGACAAGAGGCGCGAAAGCGUGGGAGCGAGCAGGAUUAGAUACCCUGGUAGUCCGCGCAGUAAACGAUGAGUACUAGGUGUUGCGGGUAUCGACCCCCGCAGUGCCGUAGUUAACACAAUAAGCACUCCGCCUGGGGAGUACGGUCGCAAGACUGAAACUCAGAGGAAUUGACGGGGGCCCGCACAAGCGGUGGAGUAUGUGGUUUAAUUCGACGCAACGCGAAGAACCUUACCAGGGCUUGACAUCCUCUGAAAGCCAUAGAGAUAUGGACCUUACCCUUCGGGGUAACAGAGAGACAGGUGGUGCAUGGUUGUCGUCAGCUCGUGUCGUGAGAUGUUGGGUUAAGUCCCGCAACGAGCGCAACCCCUAACAUUAGUUGCCAGCGAGUAAGGUCGGGAACUCUAAUGUGACUGCCGUUGACAAAACGGAGGAAGGUGGGGAUGACGUCAAAUCAUCAUGCCCCUUAUGUCCUGGGCUACACACGUACUACAAUGGCCGGUACAGACGGAAGCAAAGCCGUGAGGCGGAGCAAAUCUGAGAAAGUCGGUCCCAGUUCGGAUUGUAGUCUGCAACUCGAUACAUGAAGUCGGAAUCGCUAGUAAUCGCAGGUCAGCAUACUGCGGUGAAUACGUUCCCGGGCCUUGUAAAACCAGCCCAGUC